Molecule: transfer RNA, 72 nt
Filed under: Camelus bactrianus (Bactrian camel)
Lineage: Eukaryota; Metazoa; Chordata; Mammalia; Artiodactyla; Camelidae
Also listed under: 2 other names
Rfam family: tRNA
About the family: Transfer RNA (tRNA) molecules are approximately 80 nucleotides in length. Their secondary structure includes four short double-helical elements and three loops (D, anti-codon, and T loops). Further hydrogen bonds mediate the characteristic L-shaped molecular structure. tRNAs have two regions of fundamental functional importance: the anti-codon, which is responsible for specific mRNA codon recognition, and the 3' end, to which the tRNAs corresponding amino acid is attached (by aminoacyl-tRNA synthetases). tRNAs cope with the degeneracy of the genetic code in two manners: having more than one tRNA (with a specific anti-codon) for a particular amino acid; and 'wobble' base-pairing, i.e. permitting non-standard base-pairing at the 3rd anti-codon position.
Source: Rfam by way of RNAcentral
GAGGGUGUAGCUCAGUGGUAGAGUAGCUGCCUAGUUUGCACGAAGCCCUAGGUUCAAUCCCCAGCACCUCCA